This 253-nucleotide ribosomal RNA is filed under the name uncultured bacterium. RNAcentral describes it as "partial 16S ribosomal RNA". It matches the Rfam family "Bacterial small subunit ribosomal RNA", at positions 524 to 776 of the family's 1533-position model. The record is from RNAcentral.
UACGUAGGGUGCGAGCGUUGUCCGGAAUCAUUGGGCGUAAAGAGCGCGUAGGCGGCCCUGUAAGUCCGCUGUGAAAGUCAAGGGCUCAACCCUUGGAUGCCGGUGGAUACUGCAGGGCUAGAGUCCGGAAGAGGCGAGUGGAAUUCCUGGUGUAGCGGUGAAAUGCGCAGAUAUCAGGAGGAACACCGAUGGCGAAGGCAGCUCGCUGGGACGGUACUGACGCUGAGGUGCGAAAGCGUGGGGAGCAAACAGG